GGCGCGCGCCAGGACGCCUUCGGCCUUCUUGCGCAAGGCCGCCAAUUGCUCCGGUGUCGAGCCUUCCGGCACGCGCACCA
Molecule: transfer RNA, 80 nt
Filed under: Achromobacter kerstersii
Lineage: Bacteria; Pseudomonadati; Pseudomonadota; Betaproteobacteria; Burkholderiales; Alcaligenaceae
Description: tRNA-Ala(tgc)
Source: RNAcentral